ACGUUUUGGUUUUCUUUGUAGGGCAUUUAAAUUUUGAUGCAAAAUUGUCAACCAAAGGACAGAGAAACAAUUGGGAAAAACAUGUUGAAGUUCUUCUUCUACCUGAACUGGAGCAUCUAGAUAAGACCCUGCUGACUGUGAGCACACUCAUCAGCCAGGAUGAGCGCAUCAGCUCUAGCCCUGUGGCCAAAAUCAUAUAUGGUGACCCUGCAAGCUUCUUGCCCCAGCUGCCCCAGGAAAGUGUGGUUCAUUGCUCAAAGAUUUGAAGCUGCAGGAAGAAGAUCACAGUCGAGUACCUCCAGCAUGUCGUGGAGCAGAAGAAAAGCAAGGAGGUGGUGCCCGUGCUCUUGCAGUUUCUACAGAAGGAGGCAGAACUAAGACUGGUGAAAUUCUUACCUGAGAUUUUGGCCCUGCAAAGGGAUCUAGUGAAACAAUUCCAGAAUGUUCCAGAAGAUGAAUACUGUUCCAUCAGGAGUUUUA
Non-coding RNA from Ictidomys tridecemlineatus (thirteen-lined ground squirrel), 480 nucleotides. The record is from RefSeq and is a predicted model, not a curated record. NCBI's taxonomy places the organism in Eukaryota, Metazoa, Chordata, Mammalia, Rodentia, Sciuridae.